UACAGAGGGUGCGAGCGUUACUCGGAAUUACUGGGCGUAAAGCGUGCGUAGACGGUUAUGUAAGUCAGAUGUGAAAGCCCCGGGCUCAACCUGGGAAUUGCAUUUGAGACUGUGUAGCUACGGUGCGGAAGAGGGAAGCGGAAUUUCCGGUGUAGCGGUGAAAUGCGUAGAUAUCGGAAGGAACACCAGUGGCGAAAGCGGCUUCCUGGUCCAGCACCGACGUUCAGGCACGAAAGCGUGGGGAGCAAACAGG
This 253-nucleotide ribosomal RNA is filed under the name uncultured bacterium. RNAcentral describes it as "partial 16S ribosomal RNA". It matches the Rfam family "Bacterial small subunit ribosomal RNA", at positions 524 to 776 of the family's 1533-position model. The record is from RNAcentral.